CCCUUAGAUGUUCUGGGCCGCACGCGUGCUACCCUGAGUGGAUCAGCGGGUCAGGUUGCGCGAAAGCGUUUCCUAAUCUUUAAAUCCGCUCGUGAUGGGGAUUGACGGUUGCAAUUUUCUGUCAUGAACGAGGAAUACCUUGUAAGCGCGGGUCAUCAUCCCGCGCUGAAUACGUCCCUGCCCUUUGUACACACCGCCCGUCGCUCCUACCGAUUGAGUGGUCCGGUGAGGCUUUGGGAUCUGAGCGGAAAGAGCGUUUCGCUGUGUCUGCUCGGAAAACUCAGUCGAACCUUAUCAUUUAGAGGAAGGAGAAGUCGUAACA
Molecule: ribosomal RNA, 322 nt
Filed under: uncultured eukaryote
Lineage: Eukaryota
Description: partial 18S ribosomal RNA
Rfam family: Eukaryotic small subunit ribosomal RNA
Source: RNAcentral